GGAGCGCUCGCCUUUCUUUCCCGGGUUUUGUUCUCACAGCUGUGUCCAUUCCGCCCGUGACCCCGCGAGUGAUCCCUGACAGAACAGUCCCUUUCUCUGCCCUGGGGGAGCCGGGAAGAUGUGCAGCCCCAGCCCUCGUUCUCAGCGGAGCCUCGCGCGCGCAGAGCCUAGCGCGAUUCGCGCCCUCAUUACCACUACAAAGCGCGGGCCAGACCAAUCCCCUUUCUAAUGCACCAUUUUCGACUGAGAACAUCAAGAGGCCAGAAACUUCCAAGUCAGCUUGCAGACGCAGACGCCUCCUGGGUCCUGGCUUUAAGAACCAGAUGCCAACAUUCCCGGACAGUUUAUGGCAUCCGGAUCCCUCAAGGGUGCUCAUCUGCAGUUGAGAGUCUAAUAAACGGCAUUAACAAAGCGUUUCAACGACUACCACGGCUUAACAGUGGCUCCUCCCCUGCCCUGCCACCAUUCGGGCCGUAA
RNAcentral lists this long non-coding RNA (477 nucleotides) under Theropithecus gelada (gelada). RNAcentral's name for it is "lncRNA (ENSTGEG00000014180.1)". The record is from RNAcentral. Lineage: Eukaryota; Metazoa; Chordata; Mammalia; Primates; Cercopithecidae.